GAGGAAUAUUGGGCAAUGCCCGCAAGGGUGACCCAGCAACGCCGCGUGGAGGAUGAAUGUCGUAAGAUUGUAAACUCCUGUUAGAGGGGAAGAAUAGUACCGGUUGGACCGGUAUAUGACUGUACCCUCAGAGAAAGCCCCGGCUAACUACGUGCCAGCAGCCGCGGUAAUACGUAGGGGGCAAGCGUUGUCCGGAUUUACUGGGUGUAAAGGGCGCGCAGGCGGGAUAAAAAGUCAGUGGUGAAAUCCUACAGCUUAACUGUAGAACUGCCUUUGAUACUUUUAUUCUUGAGUUCGGGAGAGAGAGACGGAAUUCCAGGUGUAGUGGUGAAAUACGUAGAUAUCUGGAAGAACACCAGUUGCGAAGGCGGUCUCUUGAUCCGACACUGACGCUGAGGCGCGAAAGCGUGUGGAGCAAACA
This 421-nucleotide ribosomal RNA is filed under the name uncultured bacterium. Its description in RNAcentral is "bacterial SSU rRNA". It matches the Rfam family "Bacterial small subunit ribosomal RNA", at positions 356 to 774 of the family's 1533-position model. The record is from RNAcentral.